Molecule: unclassified non-coding RNA, 20 nt
Filed under: Candidatus Scalindua brodae
Lineage: Bacteria; Pseudomonadati; Planctomycetota; Candidatus Brocadiia; Candidatus Brocadiales; Candidatus Scalinduaceae
Description: RNA (5'-R(P*UP*CP*CP*GP*GP*GP*GP*CP*AP*GP*AP*AP*AP*AP*UP*UP*GP*GP*GP*U)-3') from Candidatus Scalindua brodae (PDB 8D9H, chain D)
Source: RNAcentral
UCCGGGGCAGAAAAUUGGGU